GAUGAACGCUGGCGGCGUGCCUAAUACAUGCAAGUCGAGCGAACAGACGAGGAGCUUGCUCCUCUGACGUUAGCGGCGGACGGGUGAGUAACACGUGGAUAACCUACCUAUAAGACUGGGAUCACUUCGGGAAACCGGAGCUAAUACCGGAUAAUAUAUUGAACCGCAUGGUUCAAUAGUGAAAGACGGUUUUGCUGUCACUUAUAGAUGGAUACGCGCCGCAUUAGCUAGUUGGUAAGGUAACGGCUUACCAAGGCGACGAUGCGUAGCCGACCUGAGAGGGUGAUAGGCCACACGGGAACUGAGACACGGUCCAGACUCCUACGGGAGGCAGCAGUAGGGAAUCUUCCGCAAUGGGCGAAAGCCUGACAGAGCAACGCCGCGUGAGUGAUGAAGGUCUUCGGAUCGUAAAACUCUGUUAUUAGGGAAGAACAAAUGUGUAAGUAACUAUGCACGUCUUGACGGUACCUAAUCAGAAAGCCACGGCUAACUACGUG
This 497-nucleotide ribosomal RNA is filed under the name uncultured bacterium. RNAcentral describes it as "partial 16S ribosomal RNA". It matches the Rfam family "Bacterial small subunit ribosomal RNA", at positions 28 to 507 of the family's 1533-position model. The record is from RNAcentral.